Petromyzon marinus (sea lamprey) is the source of this 3409-nucleotide non-coding RNA. The record is from RefSeq and is a predicted model, not a curated record. NCBI's taxonomy places the organism in Eukaryota, Metazoa, Chordata, Hyperoartia, Petromyzontiformes, Petromyzontidae.
ACAGGUAAUAGCUAUGAUGUCAUAGUGGCUGUGAACAGGUAAUAGCUAUGAUGCCAUAGUGACUGUGAACAGGUAAUAGCUAUGAUGUCAUAGUGACAUGUGAACAGGUAAUAGCUAUGAUGUCAUAGUGACAUGUGAACAGGUAAUAGCCAUGUCAGUGGCUGUGAAUAGGUAAUAGCUAUGAUGUCAUAGUGACAUGUGAACAGGUAAUAGCUAUGAUGUCAUAGUGACAUGUGAACAGGUAAUAGCUAUGAUGUCAGUGGCAUGUGAACAGGUAAUAGCUAUGAUGUCAUAGUGACAUGCGAACAGGUAAAAGCUAUGAUGUCAUAGUGGCUGUGAACAGGGAAUAGCUAUGAUGUCAUAGUGGCUGUGAACAGGUAAUAGCUAUGAUGCCAUAGUGACUGUGAACAGGUAAUAGCUAUGAUGUCAUAGUGACUGUGAACAGGUAAUAGCUAUGAUGUCAUAGUGACAUGUGAACAGGUAAUAGCUAUGAUGUCAUAGUGACAUGUGAACAGGUAAUAGCUAUGAUGUCAUAGUGACAUGCGAACAGGUAAUAGCUAUGAUGUCAUAGUGACCUGCGAACAGGUAAUAGCUAUGAUGUUAUAGUGACAUGCGAACAGGUAAUAGCUAUGAUGUCAUAGUGGCUGUGAACAGGUAAUAGCUAUGAUGUCAUAGUGACUGUGAACAGGGAAUAGCUAUGAUGUCAUAGUGGCUGUGAACAGGUAAUAGCUAUGAUGCCAUAGUGACUGUGAACAGGUAAUAGCUAUGAUGUCAUAGUGACAUGUGAACAGGUAAUAGCUAUGUCAUAGUGACGUGAACAGGUAAUAGCUAUGAUGUCAUAGUGACAUGUGAACAGGUAAUAGCUAUGAUGUCAUAGUGACAUGUGAACAGGUAAUAGCUAUGAUGUCAUAGUGGCUGUGAAUAGGUAAUAGCUAUGAUGUCAUAGUGACAUGUGAACAGGUAAUAGCUAUGAUGUCAUAGUGACAUGUGAACAGGUAAUAGCUAUGAUGUCAUAGUGGCUGUGAACAGGUAAUAGCUAUGAUGUCAUAGUGACAUGUGAACAGGUAAUAGCUAUGAUGUCAUAGUGACAUGUGAACAGGUAAUAGCUAUGAUGUCAUAGUGACAUGUGCACAGGUAAUAGCUAUGAUGUUAUAGUGGCUGUGAACAGGUAAUAGCUAUGUCAUAGUGACUGAACAGGGAAUAGCUAUGAUGUCUUAGUGGCUGUGAACAGGUAAUAGCUAUGAUGCCAUAGUGACUGUGAACAGGUAAUAGCUAUGAUGUCAUAGUGACGUGAACAGGUAAUAGCUAUGAUGUCAGUGACAUGUGAACAGGUAAUAGCUAUGAUGUCAUAGUGAUGUGACCAGGUAAUAGCUAUGAUGUCAUAGUGGCUGUGAAUAGAAAAUAGCUAUGAUGUCAUAGUGACAUGUGAACAGGUAAUAGCUAUGAUGUCAUAGUGACAUGUGAACAGGUAAUAGCUAUGUCAUAGUGACAUGUGAACAGGUAAUAGCUAUGAUGUCAUAGUGGCUGUGAACAGGUAAUAGCUAUGAUGUCAUAGUGACAUGUGAACAGGUAAUAGCUAUGAUGUCAUAGUGACAUGUGAACAGGUAAUAGCUAUGAUGUCAUAGUGACAUGUGAACAGGUAAUAGCUAUGAUGUCAUAGUGACGUGAACAGGUAAUAGCUAUGAUGUCAUAGUGACGUGAACAGGUAAUAGCUAUGAUGUAAUUGUGACAUGCGAACAGGUAAUAGCUAUUAUGUCAUAGUGACAUGUGAACAGGUAAUAGCUAUGAUGUCAGUGGCUGUGAACAGGUAAUAGCUAUGAUGUCAUAGUGACAUGUGAACAGGUAAUAGCUAUGAUGUCAUAGUGACAUGUGAACAGGUAAUAGCUAUGAUGUCAUAGUGACAUGUGCACAGGUAAUAGCUAUGAUGUUAUAGUGGCUGUGAACAGGUAAUAGCUAUGUCAUAGUGACUGUGAACAGGGAAUAGCUAUGAUGUCAUAGUGGCUGUGAACAGGUAAUAGCUAUGAUGCCAUAGUGACUGUGAACAGGUAAUAGCUAUGAUGUCAUAGUGACAUGUGAACAGGUAAUAGCUAUGAUGUCAUAGUGACAUGUGAGCAGGUAAUAGCUAUGAUGUCAUAGUGAUGUGACCAGGUAAUAGCUAUGAUGUCAUAGUGGCUGUGAAUAGGAAAUAGCUAUGAUGUCAUAGUGACAUGUGAACAGGUAAUAGCUAUGAUGUCAUAGUGACAUGUGAACAGGUAAUAGCUAUGAUGUCAUAGUGACAUGUGAACAGGUAAUAGCUAUGAUGUCAUAGUGACAUGUGAACAGGUAAUAGCUAUGAUGUCAUAGUGACAUGUGAACAGGUAAUAGCUAUGAUGUCAUAGUGACAUGUGAACAGGUAAUAGCUAUGAUGUCAUAGUGACGUGAACAGGUAAUAGCUAUGAUGUCAUAGUGACAUGCGAACAGGUAAUAGCUAUUAUGUCAUAGUGACAUGUGAACAGGUAAUAGCUAUGAUGUCAUAGUGACAUGUGAACAGGUAAUAGCUAUUAUGUCAUAGUGACGUGAAACAGGUAAUAGCUAUGAUGUCAUAGUGACAUGUGAACAGGUAAUGGUGUCAUACUGAAUGUUAAGUGUUGACUGUCAAUAGGCAAUGAUGCCAAGUGACGUCGCUGCUGUGAGUGACGUCGCCGCUGUAAGCUGACGUCGCCGCUGUAAGCUGACGUCGCCGCUGUAAGGUGACGUCGCCGCUUUAAGGUGACGUCGCCGCAUCCUGUUGGCACGCCAGCCCUAGCUGAACGCCGUUGGUCAAGCUGGAGGCAAGAUGCUCAGCCCGUUCCUCGUGUGUUCGGCCCUCGCAGGAGGGGGCCAGGCUCUGCCGCUGCUGCCCGGGUUCCAGCCGGGGGACUGGGAUCCGGAGGCGCUGCAGCAGUGGGCGCCGGUCGUGGGCGCCGUGCUCAUGCUCGUCGCCAUCCUGCUCGCCUGUGUGGCAGCUGGGGCUGUUGGGAGCCCGACAGACGAGUAGCCCCGCCCCCGGCACCAAUACGGACGUCACAACGUGCGACCCGGGGCACGCCGCCCCUAACCUUGGGUUCGCAUCCCGGGGUCCAGCCGCCCAACCACAGCGAUCACAGCGGGUUCUCAAGCGCCGCAAAAGUUGAUGGCGUCACCGGCGACUCGCGCCAGAGACCCGCGGACUCGUCGAGCGUAAAGCCCCGGAUUCACGCCGGGGACCCAGGGACUCGCGUGGAGAUCCGUGGACCCCUCGCACGGAGCGCCCGAGUGACACUGGGCCGUGAUCGGACCACGUUGUCACAGGUCGGGAAGCCCGAUGUCUCAGCCCCGCUGCCAACGGCUGUACAAAAAAGAAAACCCAUCGCUGCAUCAUCAAUAAAGUGUGCUUCUUUUUUAACUUCAA